This 524-nucleotide ribosomal RNA is filed under the name uncultured bacterium. Its description in RNAcentral is "bacterial SSU rRNA". It matches the Rfam family "Bacterial small subunit ribosomal RNA", at positions 355 to 896 of the family's 1533-position model. The record is from RNAcentral.
UGGGGAAUAUUGGACAAUGGACCAAGAGUCUGAUCCAGCAAUUCUGUGUGCACGAUGACGUUUUUCGGAAUGUAAAGUGCUUUCAGUUGGGAAGAAAAAAAUGACGGUACCAACAGAAGAAGUGACGGCUAAAUACGUGCCAGCAGCCGCGGUAAUACGUAUGUCACGAGCGUUAUCCGGAUUUAUUGGGCGUAAAGCGCGUCUAGGUGGUUAUGUAAGUCUGAUGUGAAAAUGCAGGGCUCAACUCUGUAUUGCGUUGGAAACUGUGUAACUAGAGUACUGGAGAGGUAAGCGGAACUACAAGUGUAGAGGUGAAAUUCGUAGAUAUUUGUAGGAAUGCCGAUGGGGAAGCCAGCUUACUGGACAGAUACUGACGCUGAAGCGCGAAAGCGUGGGUAGCAAACAGGAUUAGAUACCCUGGUAGUCCACGCCGUAAACGAUGAUUACUAGGUGUUGGGGGUCGAACCUCAGCGCCUAAGCAAACGCGAUAAGUAAUCCGCCUGGGGAGUACGUACGCAAGUAUG